AUUGAACGCUGGCGGCAGGCCUAACACAUGCAAGUCGAGCGAGCGGCGGACGGGUGAGUAAUGUCUGGGAAACUGCCGGAUGGAGGGGGAUAACUAAUGGAAAGGGUAGCUAAUACCGCAUACCAUCAGAUGUGCCCAGAGGGGAUUAGCGAGUAGGUGGGGUAAUGGCUCACCUAGGCGACGAUCCCUAGCUGGUCUGAGAGGAAGACCAGCCACACUGUAACUGAGCCACUGUCCAGCCUCCUACGGGAGGCAGCAGUGGGGAAUAUUGCGCAAUGGGCGCAAGCCUGCUGCAGCCAUGCCGCGUGUAUGAAGAAGGCCUUCGGGUUGUAAAGUACUUUCAGCGAGGAGGCGUUACUCGCAGAAGAAGCACCGGCUAACUCCGUGCCAGCAGCCGCGGUAAUUC
This 406-nucleotide ribosomal RNA is filed under the name uncultured bacterium. RNAcentral describes it as "partial 16S ribosomal RNA". It matches the Rfam family "Bacterial small subunit ribosomal RNA", at positions 30 to 526 of the family's 1533-position model. The record is from RNAcentral.